Molecule: long non-coding RNA, 144 nt
Organism: Drosophila innubila
Lineage: Eukaryota; Metazoa; Arthropoda; Insecta; Diptera; Drosophilidae
Exons: 2
Source: RefSeq, a predicted model, not a curated record
GAACGCAGAAAUUUGUAAACAUUUUUUACAAUUAAACGUUAAGGAGCUUUUGGAUUAACGCGAAAAUUUGCAAUUGGAUUUUAAGCAUUUGUCGUGUUCGGAGUGCGCGUCCUGAAUUUCAACCUGCUUAACCAAAACAACAAA